UACCCUACGGGGGGCAGCAGUGGGGAAUAUUGCACAAUGGGGGAAACCCUGAUGCAGCGACGCCGCGUGGGUGACGAAGUAUUUCGGUAUGUAAAGCCCUAUCAGCAGGGAAGAAGAUGACAGUACCUGACUAAGAAGCCCCGGCUAACUACGUGCCAGCAGCCGCGGUAAUACGUAGGGGGCAAGCGUUAUCCGGAUUUACUGGGUGUAAAGGGAGCGUAGACGGCAUAGCAAGUCUGAAGUGAAUGCCCGUGGCUCAACCGCGGAACUGCUUUGGAAACUGUUAAGCUGGAGUACUGGAGAGG
Molecule: ribosomal RNA, 305 nt
Filed under: uncultured bacterium
Lineage: Bacteria
Description: bacterial SSU rRNA
Rfam family: Bacterial small subunit ribosomal RNA
Source: RNAcentral